CCUGUUCAAGAUUCCUUUCUAAAAGACUUUGGAUAUAAUUAAACAAAAGGAAACUUACCCAGAAAGGAAGACAGACUGCUAGGUACACAAGCCAUAUAAUACCUUGUAGGGGUUUAUUUGCUAAAUUUGGAAUUGUGGAACUUUGACGCAUAAAGUGCAAAAUUGAAUCCAAAACAUUUGAGAGUAGUUGGAGAAUUUUUCCAAUACAGAAAUUUUG
Non-coding RNA from Pelobates cultripes (western spadefoot toad), 217 nucleotides. Lineage: Eukaryota; Metazoa; Chordata; Amphibia; Anura; Pelobatidae. The record is from the annotation of a GenBank genome assembly.